RNAcentral lists this ribosomal RNA (460 nucleotides) under uncultured bacterium. RNAcentral's name for it is "partial 16S ribosomal RNA". It matches the Rfam family "Bacterial small subunit ribosomal RNA", at positions 338 to 795 of the family's 1533-position model. The record is from RNAcentral.
CCUACGGGUAGCAGCAGUGAGGAAUAUUGGUCAAUGGGCGGGAGCCUGAACCAGCCAAGUCGCGUGAGGGAAGACGGUCCUAUGGAUUGUACACCUCUUUAGGCGGGGAGCAAUGCCGGGCACGCGUGCCCGGAGGGAGAGUACCCGCAGCAUAAGCAUCGGCUAACUCCGUGCCAGCAGCCGCGGUACUACGGAGGAUGCGAGCGUUAUCCGGAUUUCGUGGGUUUAAAGGGUGCGUAGGCGGAUGUUUAAGUCAGCGGUAAACUGUCCGGGCUCACGCCGGGCCGGCCGUUGAAACUGGGGAUCUUGAGUGGGCGAGAAGUAUGCGGAAUGCGAGGUGUAGCGGUGAAAUGCAUAGAUAUCUCGCAGAACUCCGAUUGCGAAGGCAGCAUACCGGCGCCCGACUGACGCUGAGGCACGAAAGCGUGGGGAUCGAACAGGAUUAGAUACCCGUGUAGUC